CUGACGGGGGCGAAACAGGAUCGACGAGGGUGUAAAGAGCGCGCUUUUGCCCGGCAUGAUACCACCGUUAUCGGGUCAAACCUGUAGUUGCAAACGACAACUAUGCUGAAGCUCGUCUCGCUGCCUAAGGGCGGUGCGACUGUUUCAAAUUAAGUCCUGACGGGUAGCACCGGCAGGCGGGGCCCGGAGGCGCCUGGCAACAGAAGCCUCCACU
Molecule: transfer-messenger RNA, 214 nt
Filed under: Notoacmeibacter sp.
Lineage: Bacteria; Pseudomonadati; Pseudomonadota; Alphaproteobacteria; Hyphomicrobiales; Notoacmeibacteraceae
Description: partial transfer-messenger RNA
Rfam family: Alphaproteobacteria transfer-messenger RNA
About the family: Bacterial tmRNA, also known as 10Sa RNA or SsrA, is named for its dual tRNA and mRNA-like properties. Its role is to liberate the mRNA from a stalled ribosome.
Source: RNAcentral